This is a non-coding RNA of Pelobates cultripes (western spadefoot toad), 370 nucleotides long. Lineage: Eukaryota; Metazoa; Chordata; Amphibia; Anura; Pelobatidae. The record is from the annotation of a GenBank genome assembly.
CUGGAGAAAAAGAAUAAGAAAGUGUUGGUCUAUCAGCAAUGAAAUAAAUCCAUGACUCUUGUGAUUGGUAAUCCAUCGCCAAUGUGGGAUGAGACAGGGGGAAUUUGUUUGGUGUAAAUAGUGUGGCAUCCAUUGACUGCUUGCAAUCUCAUCUGCGCGGGCCAUCAGUGUGAUAUAGACUUUAUUACUUGAAGAUGUUUAAUUCAAAACUAAAAAACUUAUUAUGGAAUACAGUGGGUCCUUAACUCAACCUUUUAAAAGGCUCUGUACAUUUAGUCACUCUGCAGGAAGAAAUUUUGCCUACAAAUCUCUACAUAAUGCUGCUCCAAACUACCUAUCCUUCCUAAUGCACAUGCAUGUCCCGUCUAAG